UACGUAGGUGGCAAGCGUUGUCCGGAUUUACUGGGCGUAAAGAGCGCGCAGGCGGUCGUUCAAGUCGCGUGUGAAAGCCCCCGGCUCAACUGGGGAGGGUCACGCGAUACUGAUCGACUCGAAGGCAGGAGAGGGUAGUGGAAUUCCCGGUGUAGCGGUGGAAUGCGCAGAUAUCAGGAGGAACACCGAUGGCGAAGGCAGGUCUCUGGGCAUUAACUGACGCUGAGGAGCGAAAGCAUGGGGAGCGAACAGG
Molecule: ribosomal RNA, 253 nt
Filed under: uncultured bacterium
Lineage: Bacteria
Description: partial 16S ribosomal RNA
Rfam family: Bacterial small subunit ribosomal RNA
Source: RNAcentral